UGAAGAAAUGACAGUCCCUGUCAUCAAAGAACUUAAGACCUAUUGGGAAGAUAUAAUAUAUACACAGAUUGACUCCUUCAUAACAACCUUGUGAGAUAGUUUUCCAAGCAUUGCCAUCUCUGCUUUGGAGAGGAGGAUACUGAGAUUCAGACUGGUUAAUUCAUGUGCAGGGGGCCCAGUAUCUGAAUGGCUGUGUCAAAAAAUUUGUACUCUUCUGCUAUCCAUAGUUCUGAAAGUGAGUACCCAGGAGGAGAGAGUGGUCAGCAGUAUGGGAGCUGAAGGAGGAUGAUGAGGACUGAGAAGAUACCAUCGGGUUUAGUAAUUGUGAGAUCACUGGUAACCUUGAAGAGAUCAGUUUCAGCAGAGCAAUGGAAUCGAGGACUGCGUGAGUAGGAAACCAGCACAAUAUCUACAUACUACAUGUCUGUAUAUCAUGGAACAUCUACAAGAAUUCAUAAAUACUGAAAAUGAAUGGAUAUGUCAAAUUUUGGCAGACCACAUGGACUUAACUCAACUCAGAGCGCCUUCCCUGAUUGUCGCCCAUGGCUGGAAUUUUCUCCAUCCUCAUCUCAGCUUCCUGGCUUUUUUGACUUCCUCCAAGUCUCAGCUAAAGACCACCUUCUGCAAGAAGCCUUUUCUAAUGCCCCUAAAUUCUGCUGCCUUCCUGCUGUUGAUCAUCUCCAAUUUACU
Vombatus ursinus (common wombat) is the source of this 690-nucleotide long non-coding RNA. RefSeq lists it as uncharacterized. The record is from RefSeq and is a predicted model, not a curated record. Lineage: Eukaryota; Metazoa; Chordata; Mammalia; Diprotodontia; Vombatidae. The transcript has 7 exons.